UUCCUUAACCUGGUAAGGGAGACUUCAUGAUAAUGGUGGUGGUUUUCCCACAGCAAGGCUCACCCAUUGCACUGGGAUGUGCUGACCCCUAUGAUUUCCACAAAUGUGGGAAACUUGGCUGAAUGAUUUGUAUUAGUGGGGGUGGGGGAACUGUGUUCGCACUCUCCUCUG
Molecule: small nuclear RNA, 171 nt
Organism: Mesocricetus auratus (golden hamster)
Lineage: Eukaryota; Metazoa; Chordata; Mammalia; Rodentia; Cricetidae
Gene: U1
Rfam family: U1 spliceosomal RNA
About the family: U1 is a small nuclear RNA (snRNA) component of the spliceosome (involved in pre-mRNA splicing). Its 5' end forms complementary base pairs with the 5' splice junction, thus defining the 5' donor site of an intron.
Source: Ensembl